RNAcentral lists this ribosomal RNA (261 nucleotides) under Triticum aestivum (bread wheat). RNAcentral describes it as "partial small subunit ribosomal RNA". Lineage: Eukaryota; Viridiplantae; Streptophyta; Magnoliopsida; Poales; Poaceae. The record is from RNAcentral.
AUGGCGGAUGUAAGUGAUGAGUGUAUGCUCGAGUACUAUCAUAUUGCCAAUAGGAUAUUUCAUAGUGAGGGUGAAGGUUAUAGAUUCUAUAACAAAUAUGCUCUUCAGAAAGGUUUAAGUGUGCGAAGAAGCUAUAUUGAGUGGGAUGGAUCCAAUAAUCAUAUAAUUUAAGGAAAAUUGCCCGUAGUCAUGAAGGGGUUCGUGAAGAGAAGCACAUGCAGAGGAAGAUGGAAGAUAGAAAGAGGAAGCCAUGGAAUAUAA